RNAcentral lists this ribosomal RNA (477 nucleotides) under uncultured bacterium. RNAcentral's name for it is "partial 16S ribosomal RNA". It matches the Rfam family "Bacterial small subunit ribosomal RNA", at positions 29 to 507 of the family's 1533-position model. The record is from RNAcentral.
AUUGAACGCUGGCGGCAUGCCUUACACAUGCAAGUCGAACGGUAACAGGUUAAGCUGACGAGUGGCGAACGGGUGAGUAAUGUAUCGGAACGUGCCCAGUCGUGGGGGAUAACUGCUCGAAAGAGCAGCUAAUACCGCAUACGACCUGAGGGUGAAAGCGGGGGCUCGCAAGACCUCGCGCGAUUGGAGCGGCCGCUAUCAGAUUAGGUAGUUGGUGAGGUAAAGGCUCACCAAGCCGACGAGCUGUAGCUGGUCUGAGAGGACGACCAGCCACCCUGGGGCGGAGACACGGCCCAUGCUCCUACGGGAGGCAGCAGUGGGGAAUGUUGGACAAUGGGCGCAAGCCUGAUCCAGCCAUGCCGCGUGCGGGAAGAAGGCCUUCGGGUUGUAAACCGCUUUUGUCAGGGAAGAAAAGGUUCUGGCUAAGACCUGGGACUCAUGACGGUACCUGAAGAAUAAGCACCGGCUAACUACGUG